RNAcentral lists this ribosomal RNA (258 nucleotides) under uncultured bacterium. Its description in RNAcentral is "partial 16S ribosomal RNA". It matches the Rfam family "Bacterial small subunit ribosomal RNA", at positions 522 to 776 of the family's 1533-position model. The record is from RNAcentral.
UACGGGGGGGGGGCAAGCGUUGUUCGGAAUUACUGGGCGUAAAGGGCUCGUAGGCGGCCAACUAAGUCGGACGUGAAAUCCCUCGGCUUAACCGGGGAACUGCGUCCGAUACUGGAUGGCUUGAGUUUGGGGAGAGGGAUGCGGAAUUCCCAGGUGUAGCGGUGAAAUGCGUAGAUAUCAGGGAGGAACACCUGUGGUGUAGACGGCUUUCUGGACCAUAGCUGACGCUGAGACACGAAAGCGUGGGUAGCAAACAGG